AUGUUAUUCUUUUGGAGUAAAAUACAAUUAAUUGAAUAAAAUUUAUGCCCCAGUGGCUCACUCCAUCAACGAGGAGUACAGGUGAGUAUGUUCAGAAAAAACCAAAUAAUGCUGGACACGUAUUAGGACAAGUUAGUUAAACCCAACUUUCUUAAGAUGCGUAGCUAGGCCACAUUCUCACUGAAACAAGGGGGAGGUUCAGGGAGGCUGCAGUAGAGAAUAUUAUGCAAUAUACAAAAGUAUGACAUAAAGCACAAGCAUAAGGCCUGUCUAAUUAAGUGCCAGCAGUCGCGGUAAAACUUAAAAUAAGGCAAAGUCUUUGUUGUAAAAGGCGUAGAGCGUGUGUAUGCGAUGCUUGCUAUUCUAUUUCUGCUUAAUGUUCUCUUAUAUUUAACUUGAAAUACUAGAUAGUUAAAUUAUAGAUAACAUAUAAUUGAGAUGUCAUAGAUUUAAUAAAAGUGAAAAAUACAAUUGGAUUGUAGCGGUUGAAUGCGUAAAGAGAUUUUAGAAUUAAAAAUUAAUUAAAUUUUUCAUAUGGCAGCCAGCUGAAACACUAAAGUGUGGAUAGUAAAUGGGACUUGUGGCCCAGUAGCCCAUGCUGUAAACAAUGAAGUUAGGUACUAUUACCUGUUUAAUCAAAGUUUCGCCAGAGUAGUACGAUCGCAAGAUUAAAAUUCAAAAAAUUUGACUGUUCCCUAUUUAAUUAGAGGAGCGUGUGGUUUAAUUCGAUGGUCCGCGAAACACCUUACCCCAGUUUGAAUCAAAACAACCGACAAGUACUGCAUGGCCGUCGUCAGUUGGUGUGUCAAACAAUUUCUCAAUCGACCCAACCCAUAUGUUGUGGACGAAGUCAGGUAUUAUGGUCUUUAUAGUGGGGGUGAAACAUGCGCUACAUUUUCUGUGACAACGUAGAUGGAAUUAGAGUUCGGAAGUAAUUUGAAGAAGAUUAUGGAAGCUGGAUUUAAUAGUAAUCAGAAAGUAGAGCGUUCUGGUGAACUUAUUAGUGUUAGUACAAAUUGCCCGUCACCUUUGCCUAAUAAGUGUUUGAAAGUGCAGUUUUACAACAAACAUUACAAAGACGAAGUAAGUCGUAACAUAGUGAGCGCAGGGGAACCUGUGCUUG
This 1123-nucleotide ribosomal RNA is filed under the name Ceriantheopsis americana. RNAcentral describes it as "small subunit ribosomal RNA". It matches the Rfam family "Bacterial small subunit ribosomal RNA". Lineage: Eukaryota; Metazoa; Cnidaria; Anthozoa; Spirularia; Cerianthidae. The record is from RNAcentral.